GCCGGGCGCGGUGGCUCACGCCUGUAAUCCCAGCACUUUGGGAGGCCGAGGCGGGAGAAUCGCUUGAGCUCAGGAGUUUGAGCCCAGCCUGGGCAACAUGGCGAAACCCCGUCUCUA
Unclassified non-coding RNA from Callithrix jacchus (white-tufted-ear marmoset), 117 nucleotides. It matches the Rfam family "Metazoan signal recognition particle RNA". Rfam says of the family: The signal recognition particle (SRP) is a universally conserved ribonucleoprotein. It is involved in the co-translational targeting of proteins to membranes. NCBI's taxonomy places the organism in Eukaryota, Metazoa, Chordata, Mammalia, Primates, Cebidae. The record is from Ensembl.